GGGGCGUGCUCAGAGCAGGGGGCCUGAAGAAAUGGCUCCACGGUUUACGACACACCCACCAGGAAUCCAGGGGUCAUUGUGAUAAAGGCCACAAAACUUGGAAGUUUUUGGAAGAAAAGCUUCAGUGUU
Molecule: small nucleolar RNA, 129 nt
Organism: Pteronotus mesoamericanus
Lineage: Eukaryota; Metazoa; Chordata; Mammalia; Chiroptera; Mormoopidae
Product: small nucleolar RNA SNORA11
Exons: 1
Source: RefSeq, a predicted model, not a curated record